GAAGCCGCUGGGGGUAUUUCCUUAAAGAAAAGUCAGCGCUGGUUUAUCACUGCCUGUGCUCACUGACAGACGCCGAGGCCAUCUCUGGGACUGCGGAUUGGUCCGCACCUGGAAUCACCUUCCUCAUCUGGGUUCCCUAAGGCUCUGCCUAACCCCGAGAUGCCGGGCUUAAUUUCAAGAUAAUCACUUUACAGCCAGGCAGUUAUUGUGCACACCUUUACUCCCAGCACUCAGGAAGUAGAGGCAGGUGGAUCUCUAAGCAGGGUUUCUCCUGGUUCUGCUGCUGUAGAGAGCACUUCUGGCCGGCUGACUCAUGAACUCCCUGGAUAGAGUCUCUUGUCCCUACCUCCCGUCUUGCUGGUGGAGUGCUGUCAUGACCGCCAUCUCCUACCGAAAGCUGCUUUCUAGGCCAGCACGAGCACCGCGGGGAGAUCACAGAAGACAUGAUUGACAAGGCCACCGUGGCAGAAAGGCAGCUGGAAUAUAGCCAUGGUAAGGCCUAAGGCUAGGAUUGAGCCACCCAAACAACAGCAAGCUAGAAGGGCCCAACAGAGUCCAGAGGUCAUGAGCUGGGGGUAGUAGAGAGGGCGGCAGAUAGCCAGGUAGCGGUCCAAGGCCAUGGCUGCCAGCAGCAGGCACUCUGAGCCACCGAGAGCCACGAAUAGACCCAUCUGGGCAGCACAGGUGGAGGGUGCUACUGCCUGGCCACCAGGAGGCAGGAGGAAGCCAGCCAGCAUCCGCGGGGUGAGUACCAGUGUGUAGGCCACCUCUACUGCAGACAGUGAGCCCAGGAAGAAGUACAUGGGUGUGUGCAGGGUGGGUUCUGCCAGGGCCAGGCCCAGAAUUAGCAGGUUCCCAGCCAGAGUGGCCAAGUAGAGCGGCAAGAGGAGAGAGAACAGCAGCACUCGGAGGCCCUGGGGCCACCCCGAGAAACCUAGGAUAACAAACUCCUGCGGCACUGUCCAGUUGGGCUCAGACCAGUGACUCAAGGUGGGGCCUGGUGGAAGACAAGCCAGAGAAAAGCGUCAUGGUGGACACCUUCCUCCGAAGACCCAGGUGUCCCUACCUUCCUUCUCCUGCACCCAAGAAUUCCGUGUCAGGUCUCUAUAGCCCAUGCU
Molecule: long non-coding RNA, 1118 nt
Organism: Mus musculus (house mouse)
Lineage: Eukaryota; Metazoa; Chordata; Mammalia; Rodentia; Muridae
Product: predicted gene, 38734
Exons: 3
Source: RefSeq, a predicted model, not a curated record